Non-coding RNA from Lupinus albus (white lupine), 242 nucleotides. The record is from the annotation of a GenBank genome assembly. NCBI's taxonomy places the organism in Eukaryota, Viridiplantae, Streptophyta, Magnoliopsida, Fabales, Fabaceae.
AAUCCUAAGGUUGGAGGAGAACAUGGAGGAAACUGGUAAAGUUACUCAAAAACCGACCCCCAACACUCACCGAAAUAAACAGGUAGAAUGAGGAGGCUUAUUUUGGGAGCUUUAGGAGCUUUACAUUAUAGAUGUCUUUAUUUGCACCAUUUUUUGUAUCAUGAGUGCAUGUCUGAUAGUUUAAAGUAUUUUGUAACUAUGGACAUAAUAACCUUCGGAUAAUUGUAACUCAGGAUAUGUGU